GGCGUUUUACCGGGGUGCAAGUCGAGUCCCGAAUCCAAAUCCGCCAUUGCACAGCCGGACCAGUGCCACUCGAACCCCACGUACCCUCUCUAUCCCAACCCUAGCGCGGCGGCGGCGUCGAUGGCGUCGAUCCCGUCUAACGACGUCUCCGAGAACGGCCACGGCAACGGAAACGGCCCAUCCCCGCCGCGCGCCAAGCGCCCCCGCGCAGCGUUGAUCUCGGCCGCCCAGAUCCGCGACGAGUUCGCGCACCACGACCCCGCAGUUGCCCGCGUCAACAACGGCAGCUUCGGCUGCUGCCCGGCCUCCGUGCUCGAAGCGCAGGCGCGCUGGCAGCGCCUCUUCCUCGCUCAGCCCGACGCCUUCUACUUCGACGGCCUUCAGCCGGGGCUCCGCCGCUCCCGCGCAGCCGUCGCGGCCCUUGUCAACGCUGGGGACGUCUCCGAGAUUUCCCUCGUCGACAACGCUACCACCGCUGCUGCAAUCGUGCUGCAGCAUGCCGCCUGGAGCUUUGCCGAGGGGCACUUCGCUCGUGGCGACGCUGUGCUCAUGCUCCAUUACGCCUACGGAGCAGUCAAGAAAUCUAUCCAGGCCUACGUUGCCCGCGCGGGCGCCACUGUCGUCGAGGUACCCCUCCCGUUCCCCGUCACCUCCCCUGACGCCAUUAUCACGGAGUUCCAUGCUGCGCUCGCUGUUGCCAAGGCCGGUGGUCGUAAGGUCCGGCUUGCUGUCAUUGAUCACAUCACCUCCAUGCCCAGUGUUCUCAUUCCAGUCAAGGAGCUAGUUGCCAUUUGUCGCCAAGAGGGCGUCGACAAAGUUUUUGUUGAUGCUGCACACUCUGUUGGGCAAGUCCCCGUCGAUGUGCGAGACAUUGGGGCGGAUUUCUACACUAGCAACCUCCACAAGUGGUUCUUUUGCCCCCCGGCCGUCGCUUUCUUACACACCCGCAAGGGUGGCCCGAUAACCUCUCAGCUCCACCACCCUGUUGUGUCACAUGAAUAUGGCAAUGGGCUACCUAUGGAGAGUGGAUGGAUUGGGACACGGGAUUACAGUGCCCAGAUCGUCGUUCCUGAAGCUAUUCACUUUGUGAACCGAUUUGAAGGUGGGAUUGAGGGGAUACGCAGCCGGAACCAUGAGAAGGUGAUUGAGAUGGGGAGGAUGCUUGCCGAAGCAUGGGGGACAUUUCUUGGAUCACCACCAGUAAUGUGUGGAAGCAUGGCUAUGGUAGGGAUGCCUUGUUGUCUUUGCAUUGAGAGUGACGAUGAUGCACUGAGAGUGCGGACCAUGUUGAGGAAGGAUUUCAAAGUUGAGGUGCCUAUAUACUACAAUAGCAGACAGGUUAAAGUGCAAGAGAUGGCAAAGGAUAAUAAUAGUGAUCCAGUGACAGGGUAUGUAAGAAUCUCACACCAGGUUUACAAUGUCAAGGAGGAGUAUGAGAGGCUGAGAGAUGCUGUCAAUAAGCUUGUUGCUGAGGGGUUCACCAGUGCCAAAUUGAGGCCAGCUGAGAAGAAGCACUGUGAUCUAGUUCUUCCAUAGCCACCCAUGGCUCAGAAGAUUGCCAGAGUUGUUGAGGAUCUGAAAAUUAUAUGUGAUGCUGGAUAACCUUAUUGCUUGUAGUGAUAUUGUUCCAUUAAAAUAACAACAAGAUAAUAUAUUCCACUGAAGUUUGGACCGUGGCAUCUACCAUUUUUUACGGUGCUUGUACUAGCCAAAGACGCACCGUAAAAAUGCAAGAAACUCUGGCUUGAUGACGUGGCAUCUAGCCAGCACUCCAUCCGAAGAUGCUGUGGCGGAUUAAUUAGUUGUGGAUCUGUGCCAGAAGCCUGUGCUGCACUGAGAUCUAGUUCUUCGGUAGCCUGCUCAAUGGCAUCGCCAGUUGAUGUAGUAUACUUUCACAUACUGACAAAUGUUGUAUUUGAGCUUGCAAUAACGUGCACUGGAAUGUAUGUCUUCUCCCUUCACUUGCAUUUUCGAGCUGUAAUGUAAGAAUAAUGAUCUGAAUGCAAGGAACUUGCAUGCUUUCUAGAUUGAUUGCUGAUUACGGACAA
Molecule: RNA transcript, 2048 nt
Organism: Aegilops tauschii subsp. strangulata
Lineage: Eukaryota; Viridiplantae; Streptophyta; Magnoliopsida; Poales; Poaceae
Gene name: putative L-cysteine desulfhydrase 1
Source: RefSeq, a predicted model, not a curated record